AGAGUUUGAUCCUGGCUCAGGAUGAACGCUGGCGGCGUGCCUAACACAUGCAAGUCGAACGGACUUAUAUUGAAACCUAGUGAUUUAUGAGUUAGUGGCGGACGGGUGAGUAACGCGUGGAAAACCUGCCGUAUACCGGGGGAUAACACUUAGAAAUAGGUGCUAAUACCGCAUAAGCGCACAGCUUCGCAUGAAGCAGUGUGAAAAACUCCGGUGGUAUACGAUGGUUCCGCGUCUGAUUAGCUAGUUGGCGGGGUAACGGCCCACCAAGGCAGCGAUCAGUAGCCGGCCUGAGAGGGUGAACGGCCACAUUGGGACUGAGACACGGCCCAGACUCCUGCGGGAGGCAGCAGUGGGGAAUAUUGCACAAUGGGGGGAACCCUGAUGCAGCAAUGCCGCGUGGGUGAAGAAGCACUCCGGUGCGUAAAGCCCUGUCAGCAGGGAAGAAAAUGACAGUACCUGGACAAGAAGCCCCGGCUAACUACGUGCCAGCAGCCGCGGUAAUACGUAGGGGGCAAGCGUUAUCCGGAUUUACUGGGUGUAAAGGGAGCGCAGGCGGCGUGGCAAGUCAGAUGUGAAAACCCGGGGCCCAACCCCGGGAGUGCAUUUGAAACUGCCAUGCUGGAGUGCCGGAGAGGUAAGCGGAAUUCCUAGUGUAGCGGUGAAAUGCGUAGAUAUCAGGAGGAACACCGGUGGCGAAGGCGGCCUGCUGGACGGCGACUGACGUUGAGGCUCGAAAGCGUGGGGAGCGAACAAGAUUAGAUACCCUGGUAGUCCACGCCGUAAACGAUGUAUACCAAGGUGUCGGGCAUCAAGGAUGGCCGGUGCCGUAGCAAACGCAUUAAGUAUACCACCUGGGGAGUACGUUCGCAAGAAUGAAACUCAAAGGAAUUGACGGGGACCCGCACAAGCGGUGGAGCAUGUGGUUUAAUCCGAAGCAACGCGAAGAACCUUACCAAGCCUUGACAUCCCGCUGACAGGGGCGUAACGGCCCCCUCCCUCCGGGGCAGCGGUGACAGGUGGUGCAUGGUUGUCGUCAGCUCGUGUCGUGAGAUGUUGGGUUAAGUCCCGCAACGAGCGCAACCCCUGUCCUUAGUAGCCAGCAUGAAAAGAUGGGCACUCUAGGGAGACAGCCGGGGACAACCCGGAGGAAGGCGGGGAUGACGUCAAAUCAUCAUGCCCCUUAUGGACUGGGCUACACACGUGCUACAAUGGCGCCUACAAAGUGAAGCGAGCGUGAGAGCGUAAGCAAAACACAAAAAAGGCGUCCCAGUUCGGAUUGUAGUCUGCAACUCGACUACAUGAAGCUGGAAUCGCUAGUAAUCGCGGAUCAGAAUGCCGCGGUGAAUACGUUCCCGGGUCGUGCACUCACCGCCCGUCA
RNAcentral lists this ribosomal RNA (1381 nucleotides) under uncultured bacterium. RNAcentral describes it as "bacterial SSU rRNA". It matches the Rfam family "Bacterial small subunit ribosomal RNA". The record is from RNAcentral.